Molecule: ribosomal RNA, 650 nt
Filed under: uncultured bacterium
Lineage: Bacteria
Description: partial 16S ribosomal RNA
Source: RNAcentral
UAUACGGCCUUUGAGCCCGAUCUNGGUACCCGGGGAUCCGAUNCCCGGGAAUCCAAGCUUAAGGAGGUGAUCCAGCCGCACCUUCCGAUACGGCUACCUUGUUACGACUUCACCCCAAUCAUCUAUCCUACCUUAGACGGCUGCCUCCUAAAAGGUUAGCUCACCGGCUUUGGGUAUUACAAACUCUCGUGGUGUGACGGGCGGUGUGUACAAGGCCCGGGAACGUAUUCACCGCGGCGUGCUGAUCCGCNAUUACUAGCGAUUCCGACUUCAUGUAGGCGANUUGCAGCCUACAAUCCGAACUGANAUUGGCUUUAAAANAUUAGCUUGACAUCACUGCCUUGCGACUCGUUGUACCAACCAUUGUAGCACGUGUGUAGCCCAGGUCAUAAGGGGCAUGAUGAUUUGACGUCAUCCCCACCUUCCUCCGGUUUAUUACCGGCAGUCUCGCUANANUGCCCAACUUAAUGAUGGCAACUAACAAUAGGGGUUUGCGCUCGUUGCGGGAACUUAACCCCCAACAUCUCCACGAACACGAAACUGAACGAAAAACCCAUUCCCCCCNCCCUGUUUUCCCCCGNNUUUCCCCCNAAANGAAAACUNCCCUAUCCNCCNNAGGGAAAAUNACCCCNAAAUUUUUNUUNCCAAAA